UACGGGGGGGGCAAGCGUUGUUCGGAAUUACUGGGCGUAAAGGGCUCGUAGGCGGCCAACUAAGUCAGACGUGAAAUCCCUCGGCUUAACCGGGGAACUGCGUCUGAUACUGGAUGGCUUGAGUUCGGGAGAGGGAUGCGGAAUUCCAGGUGUAGCGGUGAAAUGCGUAGAUAUCGGGAGGAACACCUGUGGCGAAAGCGGCGCACUGGACCAUAACUGACGCUGAUGCGCGAAAGCUAGGGGAGCAAACAGG
RNAcentral lists this ribosomal RNA (253 nucleotides) under uncultured bacterium. RNAcentral describes it as "partial 16S ribosomal RNA". It matches the Rfam family "Bacterial small subunit ribosomal RNA", at positions 524 to 776 of the family's 1533-position model. The record is from RNAcentral.